Myotis lucifugus (little brown bat) is the source of this 1347-nucleotide long non-coding RNA. RefSeq lists it as uncharacterized. NCBI's taxonomy places the organism in Eukaryota, Metazoa, Chordata, Mammalia, Chiroptera, Vespertilionidae. The transcript has 5 exons. The record is from RefSeq and is a predicted model, not a curated record.
GAGUGGGCGAGGUGGGUUUGCUCGUUUGUUAGUUAGUGUUUUCUUCCCCGCAACUUUGUCUCCACUCAGAGCAGGAAAAGGCGGCAACCAGGUCUGGCUCAGAGGACUGCUCACCGCGUCAAACAAGCGUCCGCUCGGCCCGCAGCAAGUUCCCCGGGGAGACCCAAGAACUGUGUCCCAGCGACUCUGCAAAAAGAUGAAAGGUCCUCGUCUCGUCCGCGUGUCCAAGCGGGAAAAGACCACGCUGCGUGCAGGGCCGCAUGCAUGCUUAAGAGAGUUGUUGGUGAAGGUUGUGUGAGGGAUGCAGGUGGUUGACAAAGAACAUUUAAGCUGGAAAUUCCACACUGAGGUUGGACAUGGAGAGGGAAAGAAAAAUAGGGCAUGGACUAGCCGGGGAAUGUGCUGGGAUGUCGGUGCAGCAAGAUGCUACAGGAAACCAAUGAUGUCAAGUUGUAUGGCUUAGAGCAAGACAGCUAAUAUCUCUCUGGUCAUCACAUUCCUCAUCUGUGAAAUAGCAAUCAUGAUGACGAUCUAAGGUGAUGUGAGGAUGACAUAGAAUACGAUGUGACUCAUGGUUUAAUCCCCCAAGGACCAGAAGCUCUACUUCAAAGAAAAAAGAAAAAUAAGCUGAAGUAUGGGAAUCUUUUCAACUGUUACAACGCUUCAAAGAAUAUUUGUUUUCCAUUCUUCCACAAAGGGAAAUGUGACGUUAAACUAACUGGGACACUGUGAACAAGCCUAAGAAGGCGAGGCUUUCGGAAGCAAACAGCUGAUGAAGAAACGGGUGAAGUUGCACCUCAGUGACAUUGGUGAAGAAAAGAGAUCCUUGUAGCAUCACUGAAGUGAACUCCUAAGAGACGGCAUUUGUACAUCAUCACAUGUUGACUAUUUAUUUUGACCACAUCUUUCUUAUAAGAUGGGCAUAUGUUUCAACACUAACAGGCUCAGUGUGUUGCUAAAAUAUUCUGCAUUAUGAAUAGUCCACCCUCAAGUCGGAGAGCAGCCGGAUGGUUUUACAAACUCACUGUUCUUUAGAUGAAAAAAUGUAACACAGAACUUUUUUGUUUCAAUGAGAUUGAGACUUGGGGACAUGCAGGCCUUGUUCUAAAGUAACAGAGUUCCUUUUUUUUCUGAAGAGCCAUUGUUUCUCUUUGAUAUAGUGUUCUUUCCUGAUACUUGAUAAGGAAAGGAAUUUGUGAUUACUGGGUAUAUAUGCAGUUUGCCGUUCUAACCUCUUUUUUUUUCCCCCGCGUCAAAAUAGGAGGAAUGGGAUUUUUUAUCCAUAUAAAGCAGAUAAGACUUAUUUUUUCCCUCUACAAGGUUUAAUGUUUAAACUCUGCACCCGAA